AACGAACGCUGGCGGCAUGCCUAACACAUGCAAGUCGAACGAAGCCUUCGGGCUUCGUGGCGGACGGGUGCGUAACGCGUGGGAAACUGACCGUAGGUUCGGCAUAACAGGUGGAAACGACUGCGAAUACAGGGUGAUGACGAAAGACAUAAGAUUGAUCGACAGAGGAGUGGCCGGCGUAGGAUUAGCUAGUUGGUGUGGUAAAGGCGCACCAAGGCGACGAUCCUUAGCUGGUCUGAGAGGAUGAUCAGCCACACUGGGACUGGGACACGGCCCAGACUCCUACGGGAGGCAGCAGUGGGGAAUAUUGGACAAUGGGCGAAAGCAUGAUCCAGCAAUGCCGCGUGAGUGAUGAAGGCCCUAGGGUUGUAAAGCUCUUUUACCCGGGAUGAUAAUGACAGUACCGGGAGAAUAAGCCCCGGCUAACUCCGUGCCAGCCGCCGCCGUAA
Molecule: ribosomal RNA, 449 nt
Filed under: uncultured bacterium
Lineage: Bacteria
Description: partial 16S ribosomal RNA
Rfam family: Bacterial small subunit ribosomal RNA
Source: RNAcentral